CUUGUGAGUGCAUGUCAGCUGUUAACAAGUGGUUUCUAGUUCAUUCUUGGCUUUGCUAUAUCUAUCUAGUGCCUGUUUUGUGCUUUCUUUCUGUUUUCUUUCUCUCCCCUCUCACUCCUGGCCUCUCCCUGCUCCUUCCCACGCCGUGUGGAUGUCGGUCACGUGUGGAAGGUGGGCUGAGGUGCCUCAUCCUUUGCUUUCUUUCUUUCCUUUCCGCGCCCUGGCCACGCUCCGGGUGUGCUGUCCUCUGCUUUUUCUCAGAGCUUCUCUCCAAUCUGCAUGUCGAGUUCUGUGUUGCUGUGGCUUCUGGGAAAGAGCUGGGGCCACUAGCUAGGCGGCUGUGGUGGCCUGUUGGUAGGUAUCCAGCUGGGAUGAGCACACAGAAUUGGAGGCAUCUUGCUUUAAAACAAGGAAACUGCCUUCUGG
RNAcentral lists this long non-coding RNA (426 nucleotides) under Androctonus crassicauda. The record is from RNAcentral. Lineage: Eukaryota; Metazoa; Arthropoda; Arachnida; Scorpiones; Buthidae.